GACGAACGCUGGCGGCGCGCCUAACACAUGCAAGUCGAACGGAGCUGAGAGGAGCUUGCUUUUCUUAGCUUAGUGGCGAACGGGUGAGUAACGCGUGAGUAACCUGCCCUGGAGUGGGGGACAACAGUUGGAAACGACUGCUAAUACCGCAUAAGCCCACGGAUCCGCAUGGAUCUGCGGGAAAAGGAUUUAUUCGCUUCAGGAUGGACUCGCGUCCAAUUAGCUAGUUGGUGAGGUAACGGCCCACCAAGGCGACGAUUGGUAGCCGGACUGAGAGGUUGAACGGCCACAUUGGGACUGAGACACGGCCCAGACUCCUACGGGAGGCAGCAGUGGGGGAUAUUGCACAAUGGGGGAAACCCUGAUGCAGCGACGCCGCGUGGAGGAAGAAGGUUUUCGGAUUGUAAACUCCUGUCGUUAGGGACGAUAAUGACGGUACCUAACAAGAAAGCACCGG
This 457-nucleotide ribosomal RNA is filed under the name uncultured bacterium. RNAcentral describes it as "bacterial SSU rRNA". It matches the Rfam family "Bacterial small subunit ribosomal RNA", at positions 28 to 496 of the family's 1533-position model. The record is from RNAcentral.